UCCCUCAAACUGGGAUUAGAUACCCCACUAUUUUUAGUUGUAAAUUUAGUUUAAGCUUACCAGAGUACUACGAAUAAAAAAGUUUAAAACUCAAAGGGCUUGGCGGUGUUUUAGACCUCUCAGGGGAACCUGUCUCGUAAUCGACAGUCCGCGUUAAACCUAACCUUUUAUAGCAAUACAGCUUGUAUACCGUCGUCGUCAGGUAACUUCUUAAAAUAUAGUAGUUAGCCCGAGAAUUAGGUUAAUUAGGACGUCAGAUCAAGGUGCAGCCAAUAAAGAGGUGAGGAUGGGUUACAAUUACACAUUUGUAAAUACGGAAAAUAUUUGAAAUAUAGUAUCAUAAAGGAGGACUUGAAAGUAAUUUUAGUUAUAUAAAUAGAAUGAAUAUGGCUCUGAAACGUGCACACACCGCCCGUCACCCUCUGCAGUCAAAAA
This 435-nucleotide ribosomal RNA is filed under the name Conus pennaceus. RNAcentral's name for it is "partial 12S ribosomal RNA". It matches the Rfam family "Microsporidia small subunit ribosomal RNA", at positions 647 to 1218 of the family's 1311-position model. The record is from RNAcentral. Lineage: Eukaryota; Metazoa; Mollusca; Gastropoda; Neogastropoda; Conidae.